Molecule: ribosomal RNA, 253 nt
Filed under: uncultured bacterium
Lineage: Bacteria
Description: partial 16S ribosomal RNA
Rfam family: Bacterial small subunit ribosomal RNA
Source: RNAcentral
UACGUAGGGGGCUAGCGUUGUCCGGAAUCAUUGGGCGUAAAGCGCGUGUAGGCGGCUCGGUAAGUCCGCUCUGAAAGUCGGGGGCUCAACCCUCGGAUGCGGGUGGAUACUGUCGAGCUUGAGUGCGGAAGAGGCGAGUGGAAUUCCUGGUGUAGCGGUGAAAUGCGCAGAUAUCAGGAGGAACACCAAUGGCGAAGGCAGCUCGCUGGGACGUGACUGACGCUGAGACGCGAAAGCGUGGGGAGCGAACAGG